UACGGAGGGUGCAAGCGUUAUCCGGAAUCACUGGGUUUAAAGGGUGCGUAGGUGGUUUAGUAAGUCAGAUGUGAAAGCCCGGCGCUUAACGUCGGAAUUGCAUUUGAUACUGCUAAACUUGAAUAAGGUUGAGGUGGGCGGAAUGUGGCAUGUAGCGGUGAAAUGCAUAGAUAUGCCAUAGAACACCAAUUGCGAAGGCAGCUCACUGGCCCUUAAUUGACACUGAGGCACGAAAGCGUGGGGAGCGAAC
RNAcentral lists this ribosomal RNA (250 nucleotides) under uncultured bacterium. Its description in RNAcentral is "partial 16S ribosomal RNA". It matches the Rfam family "Bacterial small subunit ribosomal RNA", at positions 524 to 773 of the family's 1533-position model. The record is from RNAcentral.